This 6117-nucleotide unclassified non-coding RNA is filed under the name Nilaparvata lugens (brown planthopper). RNAcentral's name for it is "uncharacterized LOC111047095, transcript variant X1". Lineage: Eukaryota; Metazoa; Arthropoda; Insecta; Hemiptera; Delphacidae. The record is from RNAcentral.
CGUUGCCAUUAUAAAAACAGAUAAGUCGGUCUACGUCUACAACUGUGUCAAGUAACAAAAACAGCUCCCUUACCUUGAUCUUGAUUGUUAUUAAUUCUCAAUUUUUUAAUACCUUGGAUAUUUACUGUUCUACGUUGGGUUUUUGCAUUGUCUUGGAAAAAAGAUGUCUGAUUUUAUUUCUAGUAAAACAGAUAAAUUGGUGAAUGGAUGGUUAACAAAUGGUAUGAGACCACUCGUUACUCAGCCAUGUAGUGUUCGGCUAGAAAACACGAUGAAUAAUACAAAUGCUACGUCUCUGACCAGCCAUCGGCCAAAUCAAGAAUCACAAUUCUUCAAGAGGCCGGAUCGGCCAAAACAAGCUCAGUCAUUAUUUAAGAUGCCUGAUCCGAUGAGAAACCAUACUCAGACCUCAACUCAAUCCAGACCAGUUCAAACCAAUUCACAACUGAAUUCGACUAUCAGCCAAAGUAGCAUGAAGUUUCUAAUUGAAAAUUACAGGAAAUCGUUUGUGCAAUGUUUAGAGUCUUAUAUCACCGAUUUUCAGAACACCACUCUCCAAAAUGAAGAGCACGCAUUGUUGAUGUACAGUGCACUCAACUCGGCAAUUUGCAAUGCUGUAUCGUCCUGCAGCUCUGAAAGAAAUGACGUAACAAGGCUGGGGAGGCUAUUUGCUGAGAUUUCGAAAAAGUUGGAUGACAUGUUGAAGACGUCUAAUUCAAUUAGCUUUGAUGUGGGGCGACAUGAUUGGCCUAGUACGGCCACUUCUGAAAACCAAGAUCCAGACUCACAUUCAGACACAACGGAAUUCGGAAGGGCUGCAUUUCAAUCUACACAGAUAGAUUUUAACCUUGAUGAAUCUAAACGUAGGUUUGGAUGUAAACCUUCUAGUUCAAGACCAACCACAUCCAAUCAGUCAAUCUUCAAAGAGAUUUUACACUCGAAAAUGCAAAACAAAGAUCGUGUACAUGUGUCAUUGAAGAACUAUACAUCGAUUCCGACUGAUGUGCUGUUGGGCCAGGCAUCAAGUGCACAGAGCUCUGACAUUCCACAAUUCUUUAGUCUCUCGCCAGAUUUGAGCAUCGGCAGGCAUGCUCGGUCCAAGUCUAACAAGAACCUAUCAAAAGUUGGAGUCAAGGACACCUCUCAUCGAAAGUUUGAUGCCGUUGCUAAAUCUCACUCACGCACACCAAUAACAAAUUGGACGAUUAAAACUCAUGAAAAUGGAAAGGUGGAACUUUUCGGCUGUGACUCGUCCAAGUCUUCCAGGAAAGUUUCGUUUGGAAUUGUGCGCAGCAAGAAGGGAAAUAACUUGAUACAAACGAAUAAAGGACUUUAUCAUCUUGUUGGCGAAAUUAAGAAAAACAAAGAUUUGCCUCACGAAGUCUGUCAACGAUUCAAGAACGAUUUCCCACGGACAUGGAAAAAAACUCUCAAUGAGUCUGGUGUUUUCAAUAAUUGAUUCAGAUCAUUGAAAUUGAGUAUCACGUUUUCGAGAUGUCGGUGAUUUACAGAUCCGUGGCUUUACUGGAGAUCUGUGGACAGUCGUGGAAUAAUCCAAUAUUAUGAUGAAUCUCACGAUGUAUGAGACAUUUAUAUUUAAGAAAUGCACAAAUUUUAAGUGUAGUGGAAGCAUAUUGGACAAGACAUCACCACGGUUUUGUAUGUUCAGUUUUGGGGAAGACCCCCCAGAAUAAUAAUUGUAAACGAUUAUCAUGUAUGCAAUUCUAAAGUACUGAGAGAAACUUACUAGAUUUUUCAGCCAUCUUAACAGACUAUUUCAUAAUUAUGUCACAUUCCUUAGAUUGAAAAUCAUGUUAUUUGGUAGAUUUAGUUUUGAUAAGUAUUAAAUCUUCUUCAUAAUGUAUAGUAUGUUGUAUAGUAUAUUCUUGUUUAUCUGUUGCAUAAGUAAUUUUACAAAUUUAUGAUAAGAAAAUUCAACUGAUUACAAACGAAAUAUUGUUUUAAUAAUGCAAUUAUGAUAGCUCAGGGCUCUUCCCUUUAUUUUAUUGUGAAUGAUCUCACUACUAUUCUUGUAUUCCAUAUUCCUACUUGUUAUUGUUUGAGUUCCACGUAGCUUUGUUUAGUACCGUAUUAAAAUAAUGCCAUUCAUUCAAUUAUAUUAUUUAAUAAAAAUGCAUUACAAAAUUGGUCCCACUAAACUUGAGUAGAUUUUACAGCAGGUGCCUACAAAUGAGCCCUUGAUUGCAAAAGUGGUGUAAGUCAAAAAUAUCAGUUAUCCAUAAUUGAAAGUUGAAGUUUAAGGUCAGCCACAAUGUUAUAUAAUGAAAUAGAACUACCUAUUUUUUUUCAUCAGUUCAAAAAUAUAUGUAUUUUUUUAUACAAUGACUAUUAUUUCAAAGAAAUUAUUAUUUUUUGAGUUAUUUAUGAAUAAAAUGACUUACACCACUUUUGCUAUGAAUGAUCAGUGAAAUUCAAUGACUUACUUCUAUAUUGAUGACUUACACCAGUUUUGCCCGCAAAUAUCAUCAUAGUAAUAGGUUUCCAUGCUGACAGUAGAAAAUCAAUAAAAAUAUUGGAUUUCUAUAAAAAGUUCAUUUUAUUCAGAUAAAUGGUACAUAUCAUUAAGGAUAUUAUGGUGAGUAUAAACAUAUGAAUCAAUAUGAAUAGAGAAAUAAAAAAAUUAUGGAAUUGGAAAAAUGAAAGUUUUUAAGUGUUACAAUGUAUUAUUUUAUGACCGAAUUUCAUCAUCCUCCUGUUCUUCCUCUCCACAAUCCAAAAGUGGGCCGUUGUCUUCAGUUUCCCUGGACGUUUUCAAUGAUUUGAAAAAUUCGUGAUGAACAGGGGGGAUAAAGGGUAGAAGAUCUAGCAUGUCUCUCUUCUUUAGCUCGGUUACUGGUCUGGUAGCAUUGAAUAGUCUCCUCUGCUUGAUAGCUGAAAAAGGCUGCUUAUUGGAGUCUUUGGCUGCAGGAAAUACAAUCUUACUGAACUGUGUUUGAGUGUCCAGGGUGGUUUUGUAGAGCAUGGUUAAUGGACUGUCACUACUGAACCUCAUCCACUGAAUUUUCAGCCAGUUUACUGGCAAGCCUUCUUCAUUCUUCUUUUUUCUUAUAAUUGAUUUUUCAAGCUGCACUGUAGUCUUGAAUUCAUCUUGAUUCAUUACAUGAACAUUAAACUUGUUUUUUCUCCUAGAAUUCCGAAUGGUUUCAAUCCAGUCAGAUGGCAUGUAAUGAGUUUUAUUUUUGGCUGCAGAUUCAAUAUUUCCGAAGUCGGAAUCAUUUUUCAUGAAAGAGUGACCAGACACCAGGAAUUUAUGGUCAAUGACAGAAAUAUUAUUUUCAUUAUCCAAAACAACUUUCAUCCAUGUUAAAGCUAAUUUUAUAUUACGAUUCUGCCCGGUGCAGCUGUCACUGUAGGCAAUAAGAUGACUUCUUUCCCUUAUUUCAGAAUUUAUAAACUUUGUAAGGCAAGAUGCUAUUUCUUGUGAUCCCCGGGAUGCAAUGGUCUCAUCCCAAACAUACAUCUCAGCUUUUUCAGUAUUCAGAUUGUGUACUCCUAAAUUGUAGCAGUAGAGGUUCCUCUUAUAAUAAGCAACUGACGUUGUUAAAGUCGGAAAUGGGAGGGCCUUUUGGAGAUCAAAUGAAAUAACACAGUAGUCCUUGUUUUGAUUGGCUAUUGAAACAUCAUCUUUCAUACUCUCUCUCGCUUUUUCUGCCUUGCGUAGAUGUAGCUCGUGUUGUAUCUUGAUGGAGUUUUUAUCUGACUCUUCAGCAGAGGCCAAUAAUUGAAAUUUGAACUUGUCGCACUGUUGACAGGUAUCCUUCCGAGGUGCAUGAAAAUGUAAGUUCUCUUCAUUGAAAAUUUUUCUAUAAACUGUCUCACUAACUGGAUUUGAAGUAAUAGUGUUGCAAUUUUCUACGUAGAGGUUGUACAUUUUCCUUACAUUUAGUUCUGGAUCCAAGUAUCGUCGAUUUGGGUUAUGCUGCCUGGUAUAAUGACUGGUGUAUGAUGGAAAGCUCAGAAUAUGUUUUCUCACUUCAUCUAUUUUCAUGGCACUUGUUUUAUUUACACUCUGUUCUUUUCCUCUCAGAUCCUGACCUACGUGUCCUUCUUUUUCUUUUUUCAAUGCUCUGGACAUUCUCCCAUCGGAUAUUUUAAAUGUGUUCAAAAAAUACUGCUUGCAAACAAGAAUGCUCUCAUUAUUGAUGUUCAAAAAAUACUUAUUCGUACAACUUUUGUCCCCUUUACUCCCAUCACGGUGUCUUCUUUGCUUAAUAGCUACUUUCUUAACAAGUCCACAAAUGUAGGUAUUUUGUUGAGAGAAAUUUCCCAUUGUCCAAAAAUGAUUAAAACACGAUUUCCUGGCCUCUUCUGGUAUCUUCGUGUGGCAUUUAUUCCUACAUGAACACUGAAUGUCCUCAAAGAUAACAUCAAUCCCCGAAUUUCUUCUAGUCUUCUUCAAAUUUCUUACCCAAUUGGUUUCAUUUCUUCUUCUUUUGGGCCUACUGACAUCAACAUCAGAAAUGCUAUCAGCUUCUGCUGGUCUCUGGUCUUCUGCUGGUUUCUGCAUUGGUAAUAUCAUCAGAACCUGGAAGCAUAAGAGUUCAACAUUUGAAAUUAGCAUAAGAGUACAACAUUUGAAAUUUUAUGGGCAAAACUGGUGUAAUUAAGUCGAUGAAGCUACAACAUAGCCUACUAGUUUAAAUUUUAUAUCUGUUAUUUCUAAUUCACAGCUCAUGAUUGAAGAAUCUUAUUGGAAUAGAAAUUAAUCUACAAUAAUAAAUAUAGCCUAUAUUAGACACACAAAUUGAGUGUAAUGCUUUGUUAUCAUAUAAAAUACACAAAAGGCAUUAUUUAAAAGUAAGGUUAGUUUUGUUAAUACAUUUUUUUACUCAUAACGGUGUUGAUUACAGUAAUUAGAAUAUUUAUUUACCUGCAUCUGGGUCUGAAGAUGAUGAAUCAUCAUUUGGUACGUAGUUCUUAUCAAAAUCGGAGUCAUCCAUGUCCGAAAUCGAGCUUUCUGAAGACAUUAUGGCAAUCUGCUUUCUGAAUCUGACUUACACCACUUUUGCACAAAUGUCUAUUUGAAAACAGUUUGCUACAGCCGACUUGUACUGGUCUCUAGUGGCAAUAAAGUGAAGCUAGACUUACACCACUUUUACACAAGACAGUUUGAAUAACAAGCUAUUCAAUGGUGGUAUUAACCAGAUUAUGACAAAAUUUGACUUACACCACUUUUGCAAUCAAGGGCUCAAAUAUUAAAAUACAAUAGAUAGAAUGACAUGCCAACUUUUAAACAUUAAAAUAAGGAGGAAAGUUUCCUAUAUUUAAAUAAAGUUUGGGUAUUUAAAAAGGAAUAUGAGGUAUAAUGUGGUCUAAAAAUGUUGAUAGGGUUAAUGGAGGAAGGGGAAUAAAACUGAAAACUCAAACUUGAAAUCAUAAAACUGAAUUAAAAUUAUAAGAAAAUAUUCUGAAUACUUAUAGUAAAUAUAAAUCAAUGAUAUUAAUUUACUUGAGAAUGAAGGAUAAUACCUAACGAAAAAAUACAAUAAGUAAUAGAAGUGACAAACGUUAUUAUCUAACUAUAUAAAAAUUAGCCACUCUAAGGCAGUGGUGUUUCACAUAGACAUAGACAAACAUUUAUUUUACCCACAACAUAAUAUCAGAAUGACAGAAAAGUCAAAAAAAAUGGUAAUUUUUUUCUUUGUCUAGAGUGUAGAUUAAAGGAUUGAGGCAGUCUCAUUGUUUCAUAUCUGUAUUGUAUAUUCUAAGUUUUUGAAGUUAAGUUACAGAUUAAUAAGAGAAGACCUCCUUGAUUUAAAAAUUUUUUCAUUACUAGAAUUUUGCAAUUGAGGUAUAUAAGCGCCUUCUACCUGUAUUGUAAACUAUUAUUUUGAAUGAAUUUUUCAUCUUUGAAUGAUAUUGUGAGUGAAUUAGGUACAUGUCAUGAUUAGUAUUGGAUAAUUUCUAUUUGUUUUAUAUUGCAUCUAUAUGAGUUGUAUAUUGUAGUUUAUUUGUUGUAUGGUCAUGGUUGUAUUGUUAUAUGGUCUAUUGUAGUUGAUUUAUUGUAUGAUCAUAUUUCAAAUUUAUCACAAGAAAAUUAAUGAAUUCCAAACAAAAUGUUGGUGAAUAUAAUAUUAAAAAUGUUUUUGAUGAAAA